CAACUCCUGUGACCAACACAUAGAUUUUGAAAAGAGCCUUGUGAAAUGGUGACCAAAUCAUAUCACCCUUUGGUGCUUCAUCUGGAGAUGAUUUGUCUUUUGGAUACUCAGGAUUUGAAGCUUAUUCUUCUCAUUCUUCAUAAAAGCCAACUAGGCAAAAUGUGUAAUUUAUAUGGCAUAUCAGAAAAGGUCCUUUACUUCUGGAUAAGAAGAUGUGGGUGUCAAUUUUUGUUUUGCUAGGCUGUCUUACUCCUGAGGACCUGAAAGUUAUUUCCAAUGGCUUUAUACUGCACGGUAAAGAUGAGAGUAACUAC
Molecule: long non-coding RNA, 314 nt
Organism: Sarcophilus harrisii (Tasmanian devil)
Lineage: Eukaryota; Metazoa; Chordata; Mammalia; Dasyuromorphia; Dasyuridae
Exons: 3
Source: RefSeq, a predicted model, not a curated record